CCACUUCCCAUCAUGGAUGGCUUCAACUCAGCUCCUGCAGUAUCCUGGGCACCUCUCACCCAGAGCACGUAGUGCUCUGAGGUUCCUGCCAGCUCAUCUGUCUGUUCUUUAGAGCAUCCUGAGGAGUGGGCGGGCCUUGCUUCUGUGUUGCCGCAGCGGCCAGCAUAGACGAGAUACGCACUAUUUCUUGAAAGAACUGUAACGUCCGAUCAAGGUAGAAGCACUCACUUGUGCUUUGAUGCAUCUCCCCUCCAAACACAGUAGUAAAAAGCCUCGAGAACUGUGAAAAAUGAAUUUCUAUUGUUUAUAAGCCACUCAGGUAAUGGGAGUUUGUGAUAGGAGCCUGAAUGGACUGAGCCACUAGACAGGGAGGAGAGCACCAGCAGCAGAAAACCUUCUGUCACGAUGAGCCCGAGACCCAACAUCAAACCUUCUGUCACGAUGAGCCCGAGACCCCAAUUCCUCU
This 466-nucleotide small RNA is filed under the name Pongo abelii (Sumatran orangutan). Its description in RNAcentral is "sense intronic". Lineage: Eukaryota; Metazoa; Chordata; Mammalia; Primates; Hominidae. The record is from RNAcentral.